CUAGGGUACUACAUAAAUUACCACUGAGCUAGUCGCUUUUUUCUGUGCUUUCCCUGUUUGAAGAGGAUGGAAGUAGCUGAUUCCUUUCUAAUUAUUAUUUGAAGGUGCAGUCUGGAAUCCAUUGUUGAGGGAAUAGACCCCGAUUAAAGAAAACGGGGAGAAUAUUUUCAUGUUUAGCAAAGACGAAAUGCAACACAAGAUGCGUCAGAGUCAGCAUCUACCUUGACCUGGAGUCAGAGAGGAGAGCUGAGACUGUUGGACAAGAAUCUUAAUGGAGCUGACCACCAGUUUAUACUGCUAAAAGAGGAAUCCACAAGCUCUCAGACCAAAAAACAAGAGAUAAACAAAAUCACCAUGUUAACCCCAAGAUGUCUUGAUGCUCUGAGUGUUGCUUUAAUGGCUUAUUUGACUAAAUCCAGGACUAAAUUCCAGGGACCCUGGAAUACAAUGAGCACUACGUUCUCCUAGAACAGUGGUGGGCAACCUGCGGCCCAUCAGGAUAAUCCGCUGGCAGGCCACAGGAGCUAUGUCAGUUUACACCAGCUAAGGAUCUGGCCCUGUACUGGGUUCUGCACACUCAGUGCUGUCCAGAGGUAAAUAUAUAAAAAUUCUCUAAUGAUUUAAAGUAUGGCAUAAAAAAUGAGCCACCAUGAAA
This 655-nucleotide long non-coding RNA is filed under the name Chrysemys picta bellii (western painted turtle). RNAcentral's name for it is "lncRNA (ENSCPBG00000019524.1)". The record is from RNAcentral. Lineage: Eukaryota; Metazoa; Chordata; Testudines; Emydidae.